RNAcentral lists this ribosomal RNA (702 nucleotides) under uncultured Gammaproteobacteria bacterium. RNAcentral's name for it is "bacterial SSU rRNA". It matches the Rfam family "Bacterial small subunit ribosomal RNA", at positions 46 to 740 of the family's 1533-position model. Lineage: Bacteria; Pseudomonadati; Pseudomonadota; Gammaproteobacteria. The record is from RNAcentral.
GUCUAACUCAUGCAAUGUAGAGCGGGGAAGGGUUAGCUUGCUACCUGACCUAGCGGCGGACGGGUGAGUAAUCGCUUAGGAAUCUGCCUAUUAGUGGGGGACAACAUUCCGAAAGGAAUGCUAAUACCGCAUACGCCCUACGGGGGAAAGCAGGGGAUCUUCGGACCUUGCGCUAAUAGAUGAGCCUAAGUCAGAUUAGCUAGUUGGUGGGGUAAAGGCCUACCAAGGCGACGAUCUGUAGCGGGUCUGAGAGGAUGAUCCGCCACACUGGGACUGAGACACGGCCCAGACUCCUACGGGAGGCAGCAGUGGGGAAUAUUGGACAAUGGGCGAAAGCCUGAUCCAGCCAUGCCGCGUGUGUGAAGAAGGCCUUUUGGUUGUAAAGCACUUUAAGCGAGGAGGAGGCUACCGAGAUUAAUACUCUUGGAUAGUGGACGUUACUCGCAGAAUAAGCACCGGCUAACUCUGUGCCAGCAGCCGCGGUAAUACAGAGGGUGCGAGCGUAAUCGGAUUUACUGGGCGUAAAGCGUGCGUAGGCGGCUUUUUAAGUCGGAUGUGAAAUCCCUGAGCUUAACUUAGGAAUUGCAUUCCAUNCUGGGAAGCUAGAGUAUGGGAGAGGAUGGUAGAAUUCCAGGUCUAGCGGUGAAAUGCGUAGAGAUCUGGAGGAAUACCGAUGGCGAAGGCAGCCAUCUGGCCUAAUAC